GAUGAACGCUGGCGGCGUGCCUAAUACAUGCAAGUCGAGCGAACAGACGAGGAGCUUGCUCCUCUGACGUUAGCGGCGGACGGGUGAGUAACACGUGGAUAACCUACCUAUAAGACUGGGAUAACUUCGGGAAACCGGAGCUAAUACCGGAUAAUAUAUUGAACCGCAUGGUUCAAUAGUGAAAGACGGUUUUGCUGUCACUUAUAGAUGGAUCCGCGCCGCAUUAGCUAGUUGGUAAGGUAACGGCUUACCAAGGCAACGAUGCGUAGCCGACCUGAGAGGGUGGUCGGCCACACUGGAACUGAGACACGGUCCAGACGCCUACGGGAGGCAGCAGUAGGGAAUCUUCCGCAAUGGGCGAGAGCCUGACGGAGCAACGCCGCGUGAGUGAUGAAGGUCUUCGGAUCGUAAAACUCUGUUAUUAGGGAAGAACAAAUGUGUAAGUAACUAUGCACGUCUUGACGGUACCUAAUCAGAGAGCCACGGCGAACUACGU
This 496-nucleotide ribosomal RNA is filed under the name uncultured bacterium. RNAcentral describes it as "partial 16S ribosomal RNA". It matches the Rfam family "Bacterial small subunit ribosomal RNA", at positions 28 to 506 of the family's 1533-position model. The record is from RNAcentral.